RNAcentral lists this unclassified non-coding RNA (22 nucleotides) under Mus musculus (house mouse). RNAcentral describes it as "oocyte_clustered_small_RNA11722". The record is from RNAcentral. Lineage: Eukaryota; Metazoa; Chordata; Mammalia; Rodentia; Muridae.
UGGGAUACGAGUUGUUCCCAGA